This 253-nucleotide ribosomal RNA is filed under the name uncultured bacterium. Its description in RNAcentral is "partial 16S ribosomal RNA". It matches the Rfam family "Bacterial small subunit ribosomal RNA", at positions 524 to 776 of the family's 1533-position model. The record is from RNAcentral.
UACGUAGGGUGCAAGCGUUAAUCGGAAUUACUGGGCGUAAAGCGUGCGCAGGCGGCUUUGCAAGACAGAUGUGAAAUCCCCGGGCUUAAUCUGGGAACUGCAUUUGUGACUGCAUGGCUAGAGUGCGGCAGAGGGGGAUGGAAUUCCGCGUGUAGCAGUGAAAUGCGUAGAUAUGCGGAGGAACACCGAUGGCGAAGGCAAUCCCCUGGGCCUGCACUGACGCUCAUGCACGAAAGCGUGGGGAGCAAACAGG